RNAcentral lists this long non-coding RNA (1325 nucleotides) under Mytilus galloprovincialis (Mediterranean mussel). The record is from RNAcentral. Lineage: Eukaryota; Metazoa; Mollusca; Bivalvia; Mytilida; Mytilidae.
UGAUUCUCUUUAUGCCAUUUUCAAUCACAAAAAUAUAAACAUCCACUACUAAUAUAUUUAUACAUAAACAUUAAUAUUGUAUUUUAAAGCACAACAUAGUUUAAUCAUAAGGUAGUUUACAUUGGUAUAUAUGAAUACAUACUGUACUAAUCAAUUUAGUAACUGUGCCAAUUAAAUAUAUAUAUUCAUUUCAUUAUCAACAAAUUCGGCAAAAACAUGUUUUAAGUUUUCUCCAAUUUGCAAAAGGAGUAGGUUCAGUAAGACCCCUUUUUGGCUCCAAAAUAUAGCAGUUUUACAAAAUUGUUUAAAUGUAAACUUUUAGUUAUUUUUUGGAAGGUAUAAUGCCUCUGCUACAUAAAUAUGGACUGUUUUUGGCAUAACAAAUUAACAAUGCACAUAUAUCGGAUACUUGCAUCAUAAAGUUAUGCUAAAUUACUGAAAUCUUCACAAUUUCAGCAUUUUAGUUGAAUUUUAGACGAUUUCGUUAAAUGAAGUGGCCAUUGGUUCAUUCUUCAUAUUGAAAUGUGAGUUGUGUUUAAUGAUAAUACAUACAUAACAUAUAUAAAGGUCUAGGAUGAACAGUUUUUUUUAACACGGAUGCAGCCACUUUCAUUUUUUGUCAAAAACCAUCUAAAAAGUGACAGUUUUUGGCAUACUUGAUAGAUUUUUCAUAUUUAAGCUAGAAUCAGAGCGUUUUUAAUGAGUGAAUCAGUUAAAAUCUUUCACAAAAAAUGAUUGAAUCAAUUGAAAUAGACAUUUAGGUGUUUAAAAAGUGUCAAAAAUCUUUCGUCAGAUGAACUUGAAUUUAGGCCAAAACCGGCCCUUUACUCCUUUAAAAAAAGAAAAAUAUAAAACCAGGUUCAAUCCACCAUUUUCUACAUUUGAAAAUGUCUGUGGUAUGACAGUUGUUGCUCAUUUGUUUUGCCAUUUGAUUAGGGACUUUCUGUUUAGAAUUUUCAUCGGAGAUCAGUUUUUUUGAGAUUUAAUUUUUCACUAGCUUUUUCAAAGGUGUUUACUGGAAUUUUUAAUGGUGUAUGUUGACCAGACACAUAUCAAAUAACAUAAUUCACCUUUCAUUUCUUUUACGGGUACAUUAAAUUUUGUGUAUUUACAAAAUUUAUUAUAGGAGUUGAAAUAGUGCAGGGAGGGAAAGCAGGAGACUUUUGGACUCACUUUUUAUAAAAUUUAAUGACAUACAUAUGUAAAAUGUGUCUCCAAUAUUAUAAUUUUGACAGAAAAUAUGUGAUUAUAUUAAAGAACAUAUUAUAACUCUAGAUCAGCAUUUUUUUCCUACUCAAUCACUAGUCUAGGGAUACUAGGAAAAU